Molecule: ribosomal RNA, 1311 nt
Filed under: Triticum aestivum (bread wheat)
Lineage: Eukaryota; Viridiplantae; Streptophyta; Magnoliopsida; Poales; Poaceae
Description: partial small subunit ribosomal RNA
Source: RNAcentral
AUGCAACCGGCGCAGCCUCCGUGUGGCAGCCGGAGAGGAGGGAGAGGAGCCCCGUCGCGGGCGGCGACACUCCCACGCUGCAACCACCAUCGGCUGCUCGUGCUCGUCGUCAUCGUGUACCUGCUGGGCGGCAGCGACGUUCUUCUUCUAGCCGCCGCGGCGCCGGUCCGCCGUCUGGGAGCAGAGGCAUCCGUGGCGUACGACGUCGGCUCACGGCCGGUACCGGAAGUGGUUGCUGCGGCGGGCUCGCCCUCGUCGACGCCUUCAGCCGUGAGGUUCGCCGACGACAAGCGGCCGGUACCGAGCUGCCCCGACGCCCUCCACAACAGCACACAACCUGCAAGAAGGCUACCCCCGCUCUGUCUCCUUUCCUGUGCCGCGCGCCCCUCCGCCAGCAACCCGCUGGCGUGCGUCGAGCACUCGUCGAUGCAACCGGCGCAGCCUCCGUGUGGAAGUCGGGGAGGAGGGAGAGGAGCCCAAGCGGGGGCGGCCGCACUCCCGCGCUGCAACCACCACCGGCUGCUCGUGCUCGUCGUCAUCAUGUACCUGGUGGGCGGCAGCGACGUUCUUCUUCUAGCCGCUGCUGCGGCGCCGGCCCGCCGUCUGGGAGUUGCGGAAUCCGUGGCGUACGACGUCGGCUCACGGCCGGUACCCGAAGUGGUUGCUGCGGCGAGCUCGCCGUCGUCCACGCCUGCUGCCGUGGGGCUCACCGACAACAAGCGGCCGGUCCCGAGCUGCCCCGACGCCCUACACAACAGAUCCUCGAUGGAGCAGCAGAUCGAGCACAUCGGCGGCGGCGAGAACGCCGACUUCGUGGAGAUCGUCGGCGGCGAAAACACCGACUUCAUGGAGAUCGCCGGCGGCGACCAGGUCAAGAUGUCCAGGCCCAAGCGCCUCAAGAGCUUCCUCCAGGAGAAGAAGUUGUUCACCUUUGCCGGUUUCAGCAUUCAUAAUGACAAAGAGAUGCUGAAGAUGUCUGGUUUGGAGAUCAACCCCGAAAAGUACAUCGACAUUCAGAAAAACUAUAGAGUUCCAUAUGCCUGCAGAAAGAAGCAGUACGACUCCUUGGCUGAUGUUGCAGCCAGCGUCAUCCACCCAUUUUACCAAAACAUGAAGAAGAAGAUCAACAGGACCGAAGACCAUAAACUGUGGGGGAUCAGCCCGCUGCCAGACUACCUCAUCGAGUACGCAGCGAAGGAUGCGUACGCCACCUACAAGGCUUGGAAGAUAAUAGACAACAUCAAAUCAGGUGUGGAAAUUUCAGAAGCACAGGAGGCUGACCCCUACUACCACUGCCACUACGCGGCAUGA